GACGAACCGUGCGAACGUUGUUCGGAAUCAUUGGGCUUAAAGGGCGCGUAGGCGGAGAUCCAAGUCCCGGGUGAAAGCCCCCGGCUCAACCGGGGAAGUGCCUUGGAAACUGGGUCUCUGGAGGGAGGUAGGGGCACGCGGAACUUCCGGUGGAGCGGUGAAAUGCAUAGAGAUCGGAAGGAACACCGAUGGCGAAAGCA
RNAcentral lists this ribosomal RNA (200 nucleotides) under uncultured bacterium. Its description in RNAcentral is "partial 16S ribosomal RNA". It matches the Rfam family "Bacterial small subunit ribosomal RNA", at positions 524 to 723 of the family's 1533-position model. The record is from RNAcentral.